CCAAGAGACUGCUGAUGCUUUGCUGAUUGGGGAUUGCUCUGCUUUUGCUUUCUAGUAGUAGUGGUCUUAGUAGUCUUUGUAGUAGUCUUAGUAGUCUUAGUAGUAGUCUUAGUAGUUAGUCUUAGUCUUAGUAGUAGUCUUAGUCUUAGUAGUAGUCUUAGUCUUAGUAGUAGUCUUAGUCUUAGUAGUUUUAGUCUUAGUAGUCUUAGUCUUAGUAGUUUAGUCUUAGUCUUAGUAGUAGUCUUAGUCUUAGUCUUAGUCUUAGUCUUAGUCUUAGUUGUCUUAGUCUUAGUAGUCCUAGUCUUAGGUAGUCUUAGUCUUAGUAGUCUUAGUCUUAGUAGUAGUAGUCUUAGUCUUAGUCUUAGUAGUUUUAGUCUUAGUAGUAGUCUUAGUCUUAGUAGUCUUAGUCUUAGUAGUCUUAGUCUUAGUAGUCUUAGUCUUAGUAGUUGUCUUAGCAGUAGUCUUAGUCUUAGUAGUAGUAGUCUUAGUAGUAGUAGUCNN
RNAcentral lists this long non-coding RNA (501 nucleotides) under Volvox carteri. RNAcentral describes it as "long non-coding RNA (VCAR_LNC003838)". The record is from RNAcentral. Lineage: Eukaryota; Viridiplantae; Chlorophyta; Chlorophyceae; Chlamydomonadales; Volvocaceae.